GAUCCUGGCUCAGAUUGAACGCUGGCGGCAUGCCUUACACAUGCAAGUCGAACGGUAACAGGGAGCUUGCUCCGCUGACGAGUGGCGAACGGGUGAGUAAUAUAUCGGAACGUGCCCUGGAGUGGGGGAUAACUAGUCGAAAGAUUAGCUAAUACCGCAUACGAUCUACGGAUGAAAGUGGGGGAUUCGCAAGAACCUCAUGCUCCUGGAGCGGCCGAUAUCUGAUUAGCUAGUUGGUGAGGUAAAGGCUCACCAAGGCAUCGAUCAGUAGCUGGUCUGAGAGGACGACCAGCCACACUGGGACUGAGACACGGCCCAGACUCCUACGGGAGGCAGCAGUGGGGAAUUUUGGACAAUGGGCGCAAGCCUGAUCCAGCAAUGCCGCGUGAGUGAAGAAGGCCUUCGGGUUGUAAAGCUCUUUUGUCAGGGAAGAAACGGUCUUGGCUAAUACCUGGGGCUAAUGACGGUACCUGAAGAAUAAGCACCGGCUAACUACG
RNAcentral lists this ribosomal RNA (497 nucleotides) under uncultured bacterium. RNAcentral's name for it is "bacterial SSU rRNA". It matches the Rfam family "Bacterial small subunit ribosomal RNA", at positions 15 to 505 of the family's 1533-position model. The record is from RNAcentral.